This is a small nucleolar RNA of Encephalitozoon intestinalis ATCC 50506, 66 nucleotides long. RefSeq annotates it as small nucleolar RNA SNORD46. NCBI's taxonomy places the organism in Eukaryota, Fungi, Microsporidia, Unikaryonidae. The transcript has a single exon. The record is from RefSeq and is a predicted model, not a curated record.
AUGCUUAAUGAUGAGGCACUAACCAGCAUUUUGUAAUGCCAGUUGUCAUAGUUACUCUGAAAGCAU